This is a non-coding RNA of Physcomitrium patens, 2909 nucleotides long. The record is from RefSeq and is a predicted model, not a curated record. NCBI's taxonomy places the organism in Eukaryota, Viridiplantae, Streptophyta, Bryopsida, Funariales, Funariaceae.
GGCGUCGCCACGUCGAUAUAAAUUAGGGUUCGGGGUUUCAGGGUGUCGGAGUUUACCUUGAAGCCCAAGGACCCUCAUGCUUUUUACUUUUAUUGUAGUGGGAGGAGGCUUCUAUCGAAGUUCUAGAGAGUAUCGCUGGUGUACACGAAAGAAGUUGAGCAGGACUCAAGGUAGCCUGGUCGCGGAGUGCCGCUGAGGGUGAUUUUGGUCCCUCAAUUGCACGAUAGACAUGUAAUUUUCUGGGUUGUUUUGGAUUCGACAAGUGGAAAAAGCUUUCUGGGUUUGAUUGUUCGAGUGAUCUGGGCAUGGAAGAACAUUUCAUCCUCCGUGUGCCGCAAUCGGUCGCAGAGCGCCUAGAACGAGUUUUAAAUGAAGAUCCCGAGGCUGCCAAUGACAUAAACCUCGACCUUGCCUUUCAAGAUGGGAGGUCGGCCAUAUUCACGAUAGGAGAGGACCACUUUCCGACGUCUUUGCUGGAUUUGCCUUGCGUCAUAGAGUCUUACAAGACUUACGAUGACAAUGUGCUUAUUAAGACAGCGGACAUUGGGCAGAUAAUUUUGGUGCAAGAAGAAGGUCUACCAGUACCAGAAGGCCCAGAAUACAAACAUGGAUUAACUCCAGCCAUGCGUGAUGCCCGAAGGCGACGUUUUCGUCGUGAACCAGAUCUCAAUCCAGACUUGGUUCAACAAGUGGAGAAUGAUCUGCAAAGCAUCAUGGCCGGUGGAACUGCACGAGAUGUGGAUGUUGAGGUUGUUGAACAAGAGGCAGAUGAAGACGACGACGUUGAGGAGCCUGCUCCUCGCACCACUCCUGCCUCCAAAAAGUCGAAAGCUGCGGAGGCAGCUGCUGCUCCACAGUCUCCUGGCGAUGGCGAUGGGGACGACGAUGACAUGGACGAAGAUUAUGACGAUGAGGAUUAAAGCAUAGUCUAGCUUUCUAAUUUUCUCUUGACACUCAUCUUGAGCUGUCCACAAACACAUCACCCACAUGUGUCCUCCUCAUUCCUAGACUGUCGGAGUUUAUGAGAAUGUAGCUUAGAGUUCAUGGAUUGAAGUUCGUUUUAAAGGCCGCUGCCACCCCCAAACCAUGAAACAGCGUACUCUUGCAAAAGUUGCUUGUUGUGCGAAGAAUGUGUUUCUUUUUUGAAAACAUAGGUUUAUUGACAUACAGUUGUAUAGAUUUUAAUGCUUACAUGAAUUCUGAUAGGCAUGCAAAGGCAGGACAACCAAGAUAAUGAUUGUUCAUACAAGUUGUCAUUGCUCUUCCAUAUCCUUUUGUAUGCUGUAUUUCUUGUCUUUCACAUUCUUUAGUACUUGGGUUGAAUCUGCACGAAUACUUCUAGAAUUAAGAAACUCCUUCUCUCAUUCAAUUAGUCCCUGCGGUUCUAAUCUGCUCGCCAUCAGGAGCAUGGGCAGUUGAGCUUUUUGUCUUGCAGUUUGCUUGGCUGUAAUACCUCGAUAUAUAAGUAUUAUGGACCUUCGACCUCAUCCAUCCUUAUCCAUCCUUGAGGUGGCUUUCCUUGCAAUGCUCGUGGAAAAGGAACAAGUUCUGAGAGGUUCCCAAAAGCAAUUCCAAUAUGUAGUGCCCAUCGCACGCUGUGGCUUCUCGAUAGUUUAGGGCUACACCUGAUGCUCCAGCUGUUGCAAUUGCAUGAUUCUAGCUCGCAGCUGUUGCUAUGGCCUCCCGUCUACUGACUCCCCUACCCCCUGCCCUCUCGCAGAGUUUCGGAAUUUGCCCUUUGUUGAAGUACUACAGGCCUGCACGUAAUGUCUACGCAGUUGGGAGGCAUGAACUACGAACCUCAAAUCCAAUAAUCGGAGGUAGUGGACCGCUGAGGAGGAGGAUUAGCUUGGUGGAGUUACGCGGAAUUAGUUGUGCAAGGCAGACCGAGAGCAGUAGGACAGUGGUUGUGUGUAGGGCUAAGGAAGGAGAGGGCACUGGAAUGGUGACGGAAGAGACGGACGGUCCUUUGAAGAGCGUGAAGCAGGUGGCGUUGUGGGCCAUGGCGGGUGUUUACACGUCCUAUCUCUUUUUGCUGCCGUAUGCUCCCGGAGAUCCAGUCUGGGCAAUUUCGCCGGCCACCAUUACAGGAGUUCUCGAUCUAUCAUUCAACUUCUUUUACGUCCUGCCACUGCUUAACCUAUAGCAGUAGGCUUUCAUCUUCUGGAGGCUGCAGCUGUCCAUCCUACUGAUGAAGCAUUAUUCAAUUUCGUUCUUGGCUGGGCGCUCCUUUUCGCGCCCCUCAUCUUCACGGAUCGGAAGCGGGACCGCUUCCCUGGAUCCCUUGAUGUCUUCUGGCUCGCGUCCAUGUUCCUGACCAACACUUUUCUUAUUCCCUACAUGGCGAUUCGAUUGCGAAAAAUUCCUGAACCACAAAAACCAAUGGAGAGUACCGGACUGCAACGAGCUUUCACUGGAGAGAAGGGCUCACGUUGGGUAGCUGCCACUGGAGCCGCAGUUGGGCUUUUAUCCAUUGUCUGGUUUGCUAUUGGAAGGUCCGGAGAGGGCUAUGGUGAUUUAGCUGAUCGAUGGAGUUAUUGGGUCGACACACUUUCGAAAGAUCGCCCAACAUAUGCCUUCAUCUGGGAUUUGUGCUGCUACACGGUAUUCCAACCUUGGCUCGUCGGAGACAACCUUGAGAACGUUCGCGCAGAUAAGAAGGACCUAGUUAAGAAGCUGAGGUUUGUGCCAUAUGUUGGUCUGAUCGUUUACUGCUGGAGUCUUGAAACAAGCAAAGCUGUCAAGCCAGAGUAGGUGGGGGUGUAGACAAUAAUUUCUACGUUUUACCCAUAAUCACUGUAGGGGGUCUUAUGAACGGAGAAAGCUUUCACAAUUGGAUUUUUCCGUUAACAUGUUCAUUAUUCAUUUCCAAGUUAAUUUGAUCAGUAAUAAAUGGACAUAUUAGUCAA